This 253-nucleotide ribosomal RNA is filed under the name uncultured bacterium. RNAcentral's name for it is "partial 16S ribosomal RNA". It matches the Rfam family "Bacterial small subunit ribosomal RNA", at positions 524 to 776 of the family's 1533-position model. The record is from RNAcentral.
UACAGAGGGUGCAAGCGUUGUUCGGAAUUAUUGGGCGUAAAGGGAGUGUAGGCGGCUAGGAAAGUCUUCUGUGAAAUCUACGGGCUCAGCCUGUAACGUGCAGAGGAAACUAUCUGGCUAGAGUGUCGGAGAGGAUAGGGGAAUACCCGGUGUAGAGGUGAAAUUCGUAGAGAUCGGGUGGAACACCAGUGGCGAAGGCGCCUGUCUGGCUGACAACUGACGCUGAGAUUCGAAAGCAUGGGGAGCAAACAGG